Long non-coding RNA from Suncus etruscus (white-toothed pygmy shrew), 1289 nucleotides. RefSeq lists it as uncharacterized. The record is from RefSeq and is a predicted model, not a curated record. NCBI's taxonomy places the organism in Eukaryota, Metazoa, Chordata, Mammalia, Eulipotyphla, Soricidae. The transcript has 2 exons.
GGAGGGAAAGGAGUAAAGGAGUAAAGGAGAAGAAAGAUGGGAAGGUAGGAGGAAGGAAGGGGGUGGAAGGAAGGGAAGGAGGAAGUGCCUGACAACUAGAGGCAGUGUGUGUGUGGGGGCUCCUCUGGCCGCAGAGAUGCCUUUCCUUUGGCAGAUCCAUCUCACAGAGGUACCUGCCUGAGUCCAUGUAGGGGGGAACCAUAUGCUGGUUCGGGAGUCACCACACCCUCUGGGGCCUGGUUCACCUCUUCUGAGCUUGAGCAGCAAGCAAGUCCUCAGGGCAGGUGCCUGAGGCUAUGCAAGCAGGCGAGCAGGAACAGGUGAAGACCUAGCUGCAAGUAGGCUCAGCCAUGCCCUACUUCAUCUGUGGCUGGGCAGCAUCCAUCUCCUGGCUCUGCACAGGGACAGUCCCCAAGAGUCACUGACCAGUGCUCCUGGAUGACCCAGACAGGCCGCUGCCACAGAUGAAUUCUCUGCUGCCAUCUUUCUCCAGAAAAAUGUUUUCCAGAACUGAGUUGGACCAUUUGUGUGUUCUGGGGCAGCCCUUGUAGCUACCAGGAGGGAACCUAGGGCCCAAUUCGUGGGGACUGGGCUGUUUCUUCUGGGAGUCAAGGGGUUGGUCCUCAAGGUUGGAAGCCCCAUAGCAGAUGGGGGUGCAAACCCAUUUGUCCUGUGCUUAAACUCUUGGCCCUAGAAUUGCCCUGGAGUCUGCAAGGUCCCCAGUCCCCACCCAUGGCUCGCAACCCUCUAUGUCCUCUCCCUCGGUGGGUGUCACCUCAUCAUGGGCCUGGCAAAGGAAAGGGACCCCCCUCUCCUGCUUGCACAUCCCUGUACUCCAGACUGCCUGGAGCCAACCAGAUUGUUUGAGGUUAUGCUUAAGGGCCGUGAGUGAUCCCUGCUCUCCUUCCCUGCCACACAGGUUCCCUGAGCACUAUCACAAAAGCAGCCUUGUGGGGGAGCAGAGCUCAGCCCUCACAGUGCUGUUCAAGAAAUGAAUGUGAAUCUAUGGCUUCAUCCUUUCCCAGGAAACUCCACUGUACGCCCUUGGGGACCCCCAUGUGAGACAGCCCCCUCACUCCCCUGAGCCCCAUCUCUGGGGGCUCAUGGCUGGCAUGGGGCUAUAUGGGCUUUUUUGAGGAACUCAGCCCCAGGCAGCACCCCAAAUCCCACAUUGCAGCCAGGAUAAGCUGAAAGGCCCCAUCUCUGUCUUUUUCAAAAAGCACAAAGGAUAUUUGUAAAACAGAAAAGUCUACUUUUAUUUAUUAUGGUAAUAAACUAUUUUAUAUGGA